CCCGCCUCCUCCAAUCAGCGGCCGGCCUGCCGGGCAGGGGUUAACCAGGGGACCCCGCGCAGGCGAAGGAGGCCGCCGCCUCGCCGGGCGGCUGAGGGCGGGCUGACGGGCGGCGCCGACGGACGCACCGCGACGCGAGGGGAGGUCUGACCCGGCUGGGCCGGAGUCCCGGAGACCCCGCAGCCGUCUUCGUAAAAUCGGCCCCCGCCCCGCGGGACCGGCCCCAGCAGAGCGGUUGGGCCGGCGCCCUGGGUCGCGGACCAACGCUGGAGGGGCCUCGCUGCCUGGGCCGGGCGCUUCCCGGAUCCGCCUCGCCGAACCCUGCGCCCGCCUAAUCCCUGAUCUCCACGAGUUUGGAUGUCUGAAGAUGUAUGAGAACCAGUGGCUUGGGGAAAAUUCAUAAAAUGAGCAAGAGCCUUGAACUUUUCCAGGGGGUAGGCAAGUAUUCAGUGAAUGGUCAAAACAGUAACUCCUUAAAAUGACACUGGAACAUCUCAAAAGAGAAGAGUUUAAGAGAAAGAACACUGGACAGAGCUGGAGCUGAGCUCCGGCCAGCUCCUCCACAGACAAACUGCUCGGGCCGCUACCUAACCUGUCAAGUUUCGCCAACCUCAUCUGUGAAGGAGUUUGGACCAGAGGAUUCCCAGAGUCUUUUCCAGGUCUAAAGGGCUAUGAUUCCAUUUUUUGAGGUAACUAUGAAAAAAUAAAAAUAAAACUAGUCAUUGAAAUUCAGGAAAAG
Bos taurus (domestic cattle) is the source of this 739-nucleotide long non-coding RNA. NCBI's taxonomy places the organism in Eukaryota, Metazoa, Chordata, Mammalia, Artiodactyla, Bovidae. The record is from Ensembl.